This 524-nucleotide ribosomal RNA is filed under the name uncultured bacterium. Its description in RNAcentral is "partial 16S ribosomal RNA". It matches the Rfam family "Bacterial small subunit ribosomal RNA", at positions 28 to 523 of the family's 1533-position model. The record is from RNAcentral.
GACGAACGCUGGCGGCGUGCCUAAUACAUGCAAGUCGAGCGCAGGAAACUGACGGAACUCUUCGGAGGGAAGGCAGUGGAAUGAGCGGCGGACGGGUGAGUAACACGUAGGGAACCUGCCUCAAGGAUUGGGAUAACUCCGAGAAAUCGGAGCUAAUACCGGAUAGUUCAACGGACCGCAUGGUCCGCGGAUGAAAGGCGCUUCGGCGUCACCUUGAGAUGGCCUUGCGGUGCAUUAGCUAGUUGGUGGGGUAACGGCCCACCAAGGCGACGAUGCAUAGCCGACCUGAGAGGGUGAUCGGCCACACUGGGACUGAGACACGGCCCAGACUCCUACGGGAGGCAGCAGUAGGGAAUCUUCCACAAUGGACGAAAGUCUGAUGGAGCAACGCCGCGUGAGUGAUGAAGGUUUUCGGAUCGUAAAACUCUGUUGUAAGGGAAGAACACGUACGAGAGGGAAUGCUCGUACCUUGACGGUACCUUACGAGAAAGCCACGGCUAACUACGUGCCAGCAGCCGCCGUAA